GACGAACGCUGGCGGCGUGCUUAACACAUGCAAGUCGAACGGAAAGGCCCUGCUUUUGUGGGGUGCUCGAGUGGCGAACGGGUGAGUAACACGUGAGUAACCUGCCCUUGACUUUGGGAUAACUUCAGGAAACUGGGGCUAAUACCGGAUAGGAGCUCCUGCUGCAUGGUGGGGGUUGGAAAUUUUCGGCGGUUGGGGAUGGACGCGCGGCUUAUCAGCUUGUUGGUGGGGUAGUGGCUUACCAAGGCUUUGACGGGUAGCCGGCCUGAGAGGGUGACCGGCGACAUUGGGACUGAGAUACGGCCCAGACUCGUACGGGAGGCAGCAGUGGGGAAUAUUGCACAAUGGGCGGAAGCCUGAUGCAGCAACGCCGCGUGCGUGAUGACGGCCUUCGGGGUGUAAACCGCUUUCGCCUGUGACGAAGCGUGAGUGACGGUAAUGGGUAAAGAAGCACCGGCUAACUACGUG
Molecule: ribosomal RNA, 468 nt
Filed under: uncultured bacterium
Lineage: Bacteria
Description: partial 16S ribosomal RNA
Rfam family: Bacterial small subunit ribosomal RNA
Source: RNAcentral